GCGCAGACGGCGAGUGGCGCACUGGUCUGUAAAACCAGCACAUGGGAACCGCAGUAGGUUCGAAUCCUACCCUGCCCACCA
Molecule: transfer RNA, 81 nt
Filed under: Thalassobaculum litoreum DSM 18839
Lineage: Bacteria; Pseudomonadati; Pseudomonadota; Alphaproteobacteria; Rhodospirillales; Thalassobaculaceae
Description: tRNA_Tyr_GTA
Rfam family: tRNA
About the family: Transfer RNA (tRNA) molecules are approximately 80 nucleotides in length. Their secondary structure includes four short double-helical elements and three loops (D, anti-codon, and T loops).
Source: RNAcentral